This 465-nucleotide ribosomal RNA is filed under the name Vreelandella stevensii. RNAcentral's name for it is "partial 16S ribosomal RNA". It matches the Rfam family "Bacterial small subunit ribosomal RNA", at positions 338 to 795 of the family's 1533-position model. Lineage: Bacteria; Pseudomonadati; Pseudomonadota; Gammaproteobacteria; Oceanospirillales; Halomonadaceae. The record is from RNAcentral.
CCUACGGGUGGCAGCAGUGGGGAAUAUUGGACAAUGGGGGCAACCCUGAUCCAGCCAUGCCGCGUGUGUGAAGAAGGCCCUCGGGUUGUAAAGCACUUUCAGUGAGGAAGAACGCCUGGUGGUUAAUACCCAUCAGGAAAGACAUCACUCACAGAAGAAGCACCGGCUAACUCCGUGCCAGCAGCCGCGGUAAUACGGAGGGUGCGAGCGUUAAUCGGAAUUACUGGGCGUAAAGCGCGCGUAGGUGGCUUGAUAAGCCGGUUGUGAAAGCCCCGGGCUCAACCUGGGAACGGCAUCCGGAACUGUCAAGCUAGAGUGCAGGAGAGGAAGGUAGAAUUCCCGGUGUAGCGGUGAAAUGCGUAGAGAUCGGGAGGAAUACCAGUGGCGAAGGCGGCCUUCUGGACUGACACUGACGCUGAGGUGCGAAAGCGUGGGUAGCAAACAGGAUUAGAUACCCUGGUAGUC